AUGUGUGUGUAUGUGUGUGUAUAUGUUUGUAUAUAUAUAAAACGGUGAAAAACAUAGUUUAAGCAACACAUCGAUUAGACCACAUUUUAAAGCUUGUUUAUUGAUACAAUGCAAGAUAUAACAAAGCUAACAGCUGUUUCUAAUCAGAUUGCGAGAAUGUAUUCUAUAGAUA
Molecule: long non-coding RNA, 172 nt
Organism: Octopus sinensis (East Asian common octopus)
Lineage: Eukaryota; Metazoa; Mollusca; Cephalopoda; Octopoda; Octopodidae
Exons: 3
Source: RefSeq, a predicted model, not a curated record